GACGAACGCUGGCGGCGUGCUUAACACAUGCAAGUCGAACGGAAAGGCCCUGCUUUUGUGGGGUGCUCGAGUGGCGAACGGGUGAGUAACACGUGAGUAACCUGCCCUUGACUUUGGGAUAACUUCAGGAAACUGGGGCUAAUACCGGAUAGGAGCUCCUGCUGCAUGGUGGGGGUUGGAAAGUUUCGGCGGUUGGGGAUGGACUCGCGGCUUAUCAGCUUGUUGGUGGGGUAGUGGCUUACCAAGGCUUUGACGGGUAGCCGGCCUGAGAGGGUGACCGGCCACAUUGGGACUGAGAUACGGCCCAGACUCCUACGGGAGGCAGCAGUGGGGAAUAUUGCACAAUGGGCGGAAGCCUGAUGCAGCAACGCCGCGUGCGGGAUGACGGCCUUCGGGUUGUAAACCGCUUUCGCCUGUGACGAAGCGUGAGUGACGGUAAUGGGUAAAGAAGCACCGGCUAACUACGUGCCAGCAGCCGCGGUGAUACGUAGGGUGCGAGCGUUGUCCGGAUUUAUGGGCGUAAAGGGCUCGUAGGUGGUUGAUCGCGUCGGAAGUGUAAUCUUGGGGCUUAACCCUGAGCGUGCUUUCGAUACGGGUUGACUUGAGGAAGGUAGGGGAGAAUGGAAUUCCUGGUGGAGCGGUGGAAUGCGCAGAUAUCAGGAGGAACACCAGUGGCGAAGGCGGUUCUCUGGGCCUUUCCUGACGCUGAGGAGCGAAAGCGUGGGGAGCGAACAGGCUUAGAUACCCUGGUAGUCCACGCUGUAAACGGUGGGUACUAGGUGUGGGGUCCAUUCCACGGGUUCCGUGCCGUAGCUAACGCUUUAAGUACCCCGCCUGGGGAGUACGGCCGCAAGGCUAAAACUCAAAGGAAUUGACGGGGCCCCGCACAAGCGGCGGAGCAUGCGGAUUAAUUCGAUGCAACGCGUAGAACCUUACCUGGGUUUGACAUGGAUCGGGAGCGCUCAGAGAUGGGUGUGCCUCUUUUGGGGUCGGUUCACAGGUGGUGCAUGGCUGUCGUCAGCUCGUGUCGUGAGAUGUUGGGUUAAGUCCCGCAACGAGCGCAACCCUUGUUCACUGUUGCCAGCACGUUAUGGUGGGGACUCAGUGGAGACCGCCGGGGUCAACUCGGAGGAAGGUGGGGAUGACGUCAAGUCAUCAUGCCCCUUAUGUCCAGGGCUUCACGCAUGCUACAAUGGCUGGUACAGAGAGUGGCGAGCCUGUGAGGGUGAGCGAAUCUCGGAAAGCCGGUCUCAGUUCGGAUUGGGGUCUGCAACUCGACCUCAUGAAGUCGGAGUCGCUAGUAAUCGCAGAUCAGCAACGCUGCGGUGAAUACGUUCCCGGG
RNAcentral lists this ribosomal RNA (1342 nucleotides) under uncultured bacterium. RNAcentral's name for it is "16S ribosomal RNA". It matches the Rfam family "Bacterial small subunit ribosomal RNA", at positions 28 to 1378 of the family's 1533-position model. The record is from RNAcentral.